This 446-nucleotide ribosomal RNA is filed under the name uncultured bacterium. RNAcentral describes it as "partial 16S ribosomal RNA". It matches the Rfam family "Bacterial small subunit ribosomal RNA", at positions 329 to 792 of the family's 1533-position model. The record is from RNAcentral.
UGCCAGACUCCUACGGGAGGCAGCAGUGGGGAAUAUUGCACAAUGGGGGAAACCCUGAUGCAGCGACGCCGCGUGAGUGAAGAAGUAUUUCGGUAUGUAAAGCUCUAUCAGCAGGGAAGAAAAUGGCGGUACCUGACUAAGAAGCCCCGGCUAACUACGUGCCAGCAGCCGCGGUAAUACGUAGGGGGCAAGCGUUAUCCGGAUUUACUGGGUGUAAAGGGUGCGCAGGCGGUCCUGCAAGUCUGGAGUGAAACGCAUGAGCUCAACUCAUGCAUGGCUUUGGAAACUGGAGGACUGGAGAGCAGGAGAGGGCGGUGGAACUCCAUGUGUAGCGGUAAAAUGCGUAGAUAUAUGGAAGAACACCAGUGGCGAAGGCGGCCGCCUGGCCUGUUGCUGACGCUGAGGCACGAAAGCGUGGGGAGCAAACAGGAUUAGAUACCCGAGUA